Molecule: long non-coding RNA, 349 nt
Filed under: Homo sapiens (human)
Lineage: Eukaryota; Metazoa; Chordata; Mammalia; Primates; Hominidae
Description: non-protein coding lnc-POU2AF1-5:1
Source: RNAcentral
AUGGGCAGCCUUCACACCAAAACAGUGAAGAAGGUAGCCUGGGUCAUCAUAGAAAAGUAUUACAUGCACCCCGGUAAUGAUUUCCACAUGAACAAGCAAGUGGGUGAAGACUGUCAUUAUCCCCAGCAAGAAGCUCUGCAACAAGAUAGCAGGCUGAGUCACGCAUCUGAAGAAGCAGAUUCACAGGGGCCCAGUAAGAGGUAUUUCCAUCAGGUUGCAGGAGAAGAAGAGAGAAAGGAGAGAUAAUUAUGCUCCUGAGGUCUCAGGCUUGGAUCAGGAGAUCACUGAAGUAGAUCUUGAUACUGGAGAAAUGCUGAAGGUUUGGACUUUGGGAAAUUCAUCCCAACUG